UUCAGAUUAGGAGGGAAACCAAAUGGAAAGUGGCGUUAUGGCGGCAAAAUAGUCAAGAGUGUUUCUCUAUCCAGCGCUUUAGCUGCGACUGAAGAUUCGCUCUUUUCAGUCUUCCCAUCCACGAUCCAGCUCUCGCAGCUCGCAAGCAGAUGCAAGUUCAAAGGUGAUUGAUGGCGCUGUUGAUCUCUCUGUUGACGAUUUUGUGUUUUGAGUCCUAUAGAAAUGCAUAAUCUGUUCAUCUGAAUAGUUUUGAGGAAAAAAGUUCAUAGAUCGCAAACUUCUUCCCUCUAAAUGGUUAGGAACUUUUCGUUCACAGUUAUAUUUAUGUAUAUAUUGCUUGUGUAUGGCUAGGUAGGGAAAUGUGUUGUAGAUGCUCUGAACAAUUUUUUAAUAUCAGAAUUCCAGGAGCAUCAAUCUGUUUAGAAAAUACAGAAGACAAGGUUGAGAGGGAUUGAAAUGAGGUUUUGGGAGAAUUGAGGGGAUGAAUUUGUUAGAAGAAGAAGACAGUUUGAGUGAAGAAGGGGAAGUGAGAGGACAAAGUUAGGGUUAAAGUUUGAGGAGCUAGUUUUCAGAGAAGAAAUCAUUUUGUCAUGUGGUGAAGAAAGGUUGAAGUAGAGAGGGCAAAUAAGGGAGAUAGUAACCCAAGAAUGUGUUGCAGGUUGGUUAGUGGGAGCAGGAAAAUGAAUUUCAGUGAGAAAUUGGAAAUUAAAGAUUAUAAUAGUUGAGGAGGAAAUUCGAUCUUUUGCUAGUUUUCUGAUUGGAGGGUGGCUUUAUUGUAGGGGCUGAUUAGGUUGGUUUGAAAGGUUACUCGUGUGUUUGUUAUUAGCUGGAUUUGGUAUUCAGUGGACAUCUUAUCCUCCUUUUUUUGGGUAUGUUUGGAUGAUUAAUUUUAACGAGAUUUUGUUGCUCGUAAAAGAACUUUUUCAGUGUAGUUGGAAUGCUUGUGCACUAGCUCCUUUGGUGUUCUUGCACUAUCUUCUAAUAUACCUUUGGCUAUUAAACUCGCAACCUUCAAGUAAUUUGCUCAAGAAACUAGCUAGUGUAUUAAACUGUAUGACAUCUUUUGGUUAUGCUCGCCGUUUUUACAGAAAUGGCUAAAUGCCCUCUCAGUCAUGUGAGCAAACAACUAAAUUAGAACCUCACUUUUUGCUC
This is a long non-coding RNA of Prunus persica (peach), 1152 nucleotides long. RefSeq lists it as uncharacterized. The record is from RefSeq and is a predicted model, not a curated record. The transcript is spliced from 2 exons. Lineage: Eukaryota; Viridiplantae; Streptophyta; Magnoliopsida; Rosales; Rosaceae.